RNAcentral lists this ribosomal RNA (466 nucleotides) under Porphyromonas gingivalis. Its description in RNAcentral is "bacterial SSU rRNA". It matches the Rfam family "Bacterial small subunit ribosomal RNA", at positions 28 to 483 of the family's 1533-position model. The record is from RNAcentral. Lineage: Bacteria; Pseudomonadati; Bacteroidota; Bacteroidia; Bacteroidales; Porphyromonadaceae.
GAUGAACGCUAGCGAUAGGCUUAACACAUGCAAGUCGAGGGGCAGCAUGAUCUUAGCUUGCUAAGGUCGAUGGCGACCGGCGCACGGGUGCGUAACGCGUAUGCAACUUGCCUUACAGAGGGGGAUAACCCGUUGAAAGACGGACUAAAACCGCAUACACUUGUAUUAUUGCAUGAUAUUACAAGGAAAUAUUUAUAGCUGUAAGAUAGGCAUGCGUCCCAUUAGCUGGUUGGUGAGGUAACGGCUCACCAAGGCGACGAUGGGUAGGGGAACUGAGAGGUUUAUCCCCCACACUGGUACUGAGACACGGACCAGACUCCUACGGGAGGCAGCAGUGAGGAAUAUUGGUCAAUGGGCGAGAGCCUGAACCAGCCAAGUCGCGUGAAGGAAGACAGUCCUAAGGAUUGUAAACUUCUUUUAUACGGGAAUAAACGGGCGAUACGAGUAUUGCAUGAAUGUACCCUAA